This 164-nucleotide small nuclear RNA is filed under the name Tupaia belangeri chinensis (Chinese tree shrew). Its description in RNAcentral is "Tupaia chinensis (Chinese tree shrew) U1 spliceosomal RNA". It matches the Rfam family "U1 spliceosomal RNA". Rfam says of the family: U1 is a small nuclear RNA (snRNA) component of the spliceosome (involved in pre-mRNA splicing). Lineage: Eukaryota; Metazoa; Chordata; Mammalia; Scandentia; Tupaiidae. The record is from Rfam by way of RNAcentral.
AUACUUACCUGGCAGGGGAAACACCAUGGUCAUGAAGGUGCUUUUCCCAGGGUGAGGCUUACCCAUUGCACUGCGGGUGUGCUGACCUCUGCAGUUUCCCCAAGUGCGGGAAACUCAGCUGCAUAAUUUGCGGUAGUGGGGGACUGCGUUUGCGCUUUGUCCUG